RNAcentral lists this unclassified non-coding RNA (234 nucleotides) under Hevea brasiliensis (rubber tree). Lineage: Eukaryota; Viridiplantae; Streptophyta; Magnoliopsida; Malpighiales; Euphorbiaceae. The record is from RNAcentral.
GUUUCCAUAUUGUCGAUCUUGCUAUUUUCAUCCCUCCAAUGGAAGGACAACUUUUGGAUGAUUUUGAACCGCAUACAGUAUUUGGACCAAAUGAAAUCUGAAUCCCUCUGAGAUUCUGCAGUUGUUAUUACAUCUGGAACUUCAAACUUUAUGAAAUUCCGUGUGUAAACACAUGUAUGCUGUGUGCAUAUGGAACAACUAACAUUUUUGUCCAGCAUGUAUGUCUGAGUUGUG